Molecule: ribosomal RNA, 253 nt
Filed under: uncultured bacterium
Lineage: Bacteria
Description: partial 16S ribosomal RNA
Rfam family: Bacterial small subunit ribosomal RNA
Source: RNAcentral
UACGGAGGGUGUAAGCGUUGUCCGGAUUUAUUGGGUUUAAAGGGUGCGUAGGUGGCUGCUUAAGUCAGUGGUGAAAGUCUGUCGCUUAACGAUAGAACUGCCAUUGAUACUGAAUAGCUUGAGUAUUGAUGAGGUAGGCGGAAUUGAUAGUGUAGCGGUGAAAUGCAUAGAUAUUAUCAAGAACACCGAUUGCGAAGGCAGCUUACUAAGGAAUAACUGACACUGAGGCACGAAAGCGUGGGGAUCAAACAGG